UUUUCAGUCUUAGAAUGGAGAGGGCAAAGAACAUGGAGCAACUUCACCCAAUAUUAUGUUCAUCUUUUCCGGAGGGCCACCAUGAAAAUACUGUGAACUAUGCUAGUGAAGCAAGCACUGAAGGAUCGGUCACUAGGAUUAAUGUGGAUGAAAGUAGUCAAGAAUGUGUUUGUGGAACUAGAGUCGUGAUACAAACUGCAUGGACAAGGAACAACCCUGGUUGACAAUUUUAUGUGUGUAUAAACUACUCGGCUAGUGACCAUAGUGGAUGUGGUCACUUUAGCUGGUGUUAAUCAAAAUUGUCGAAUAGGUUGACAGAGACAUUAUACAAAUUUCUCACUCGUCUUGAGGAGGCUGAGAAGAAAAAUGGGGAGUUGGUGGUGACUUGCAAACGACUUAAGAUAUUUAUCAUUUCCUUGUCAGUUUGUUUUCUAUGUAUUUUAUUGUUCAUUUAGGUUCAGUGUGGUAGGCCCUUCGACUAAGUUAUUGUCAACUACUACUAUUUAAUCCUCCCAAUUUCAUAUAUUUAAUCCAAAGUUUAGUACUUAUGUCUGACUUUUGUUUAUAUUAUACAUGUGUUGCAUAGAUUCCAAAAGUGUUUAUGCAGUCUAAAAACUAACAUGAUUUAAUGGAA
Molecule: long non-coding RNA, 634 nt
Organism: Humulus lupulus (European hop)
Lineage: Eukaryota; Viridiplantae; Streptophyta; Magnoliopsida; Rosales; Cannabaceae
Exons: 2
Source: RefSeq, a predicted model, not a curated record